AGAGUUUGAUCCUGGCUCAGAACGAACGCUGGCGGCGUGGAUAAGACAUGCAAGCCGAACGAGAGAAUUGCUAGCUUGCUAAUAAUUCUCUAGUGGCGCACGGGUGAGUAACACGUGAGUAACCUGCCCCCGAGAGCGGGAUAGCCCUGGGAAACUGGGAUUAAUACCGCAUAGUAUCGAAAGAUUGAAGCAGCAAUGCGCUUGGGGAUGGGCUCGCGGCCUAUUAGUUAGUUGGUGAGGUAACGGCUCACCAAGGCGAUGACGGGUAGCCGGUCUGAGAGGAUGUCCGGCCACACUGGAACUGAGACACGGUCCAGACACCUACGGGUGGCAGCAGUCGAGAAUCAUUCACAAUGGGGGAAACCCUGAUGGUGCGACGCCGCGUGGGGGAAUGAAGGUCUUCGGAUUGUAAACCCCUGUCAUGUGGGAGCAAAUUAAAAAGAUAGUACCACAAGAGGAAGAGACGGCUAACUCUGUGCCAGCAGCCGCGGUAAUACAGAGGUCUCAAGCGUUGUUCGGAAUCACUGGGCGUAAAGCGUGCGUAGGCUGUUUCGUAAGUCGUGUGUGAAAGGCGCGGGCUCAACCCGCGGACGGCACAUGAUACUGCGAGACUAGAGUAAUGGAGGGGGAACCGGAAUUCUCGGUGUAGCAGUGAAAUGCGUAGAUAUCGAGAGGAACACUCGUGGCGAAGGCGGGUUCCUGGACAUUAACUGACGCUGAGGCACGAAGGCCAGGGGAGCGAAAGGGAUUAGAUACCCCUGUAGUCCUGGCAGUAAACGGUGCACGCUUGGUGUGCGGGGAAUCGACCCCCUGCGUGCCGGAGCUAACGCGUUAAGCGUGCCGCCUGGGGAGUACGGUCGCAAGAUUAAAACUCAAAGAAAUUGACGGGGACCCGCACAAGCGGUGGAGUAUGUGGCUUAAUUCGAUGCAACGCGAAGAACCUUACCUGGGCUUGGCAUGUAAUGAACAACAUGUGAAAGCAUGCGACUCUUCGGAGGCGUUACACAGGUGCUGCAUGGCCGUCGUCAGCUCGUGUCGUGAGAUGUUUGGUUAAGUCCAGCAACGAGCGCAACCCCUGUUGCCAGUUACCAGCACGUGAAGGUGGGGACUCUGGCGAGACUGCCCAGAUCAACUGGGAGGAAGGUGGGGACGACGUCAGGUCAGUAUGGCCCUUAUGCCCAGGGCUGCACACGUACUACAAUGCCCAGUACAGAGGGGGCCGAAGCCGCGAGGCGGAGGAAAUCCUAAAAACUGGGCCCAGUUCGGACUGUAGGCUGCAACCCGCCUACACGAAGCCGGAAUCGCUAGUAAUGGCGCAUCAGCUACGGCGCCGUGAAUACGUUCCCGGGUCUUGUACACACCGCCCGUCA
Molecule: ribosomal RNA, 1370 nt
Filed under: uncultured bacterium
Lineage: Bacteria
Description: bacterial SSU rRNA
Rfam family: Bacterial small subunit ribosomal RNA
Source: RNAcentral